This 394-nucleotide long non-coding RNA is filed under the name Elaeis guineensis (African oil palm). RNAcentral describes it as "long non-coding RNA (EGUI_LNC055372)". The record is from RNAcentral. Lineage: Eukaryota; Viridiplantae; Streptophyta; Magnoliopsida; Arecales; Arecaceae.
AGACCCAAUUACACCCUAUGGGUUUAACCCUUUCAGGUGGGUCAACUGAUAUCCAUAUAUCAUUGACCUUCAUGAACUCUAUUUUGGAUUUCAUGGCUUCAAACCAUUUAUCAGAGUCAGACCUCUGCAUUGCAUGCAUAUAGAUGAUCGGAUCCUCAUUAUUCUCAUCGAGUUCAAUAGGAUCCCCAUCCCUAUCGGAUCUCCUUAAGAUGCCUCUACAACAGGUUUUGGAUUUGACAUUAUCAAAUCUAGUUCUGUGGGUUCACUAGAUUGUGUCAGUUCUACUGUUGAACUUUCUCAAGUUUAACCUUAGAGACAUUAAUUCCUUCCUCAAGAAAUUCUUUUUCCAAAAUGACUAUCCUAAGGUUGACAAAUACUUUUUAUUCAUCAGCAA